This 22-nucleotide microRNA is filed under the name Homo sapiens (human). RNAcentral's name for it is "hsa-miR-4796-5p". Lineage: Eukaryota; Metazoa; Chordata; Mammalia; Primates; Hominidae. The record is from miRBase by way of RNAcentral.
UGUCUAUACUCUGUCACUUUAC